AUACGGGGGGUGCAAGCGUUAUUCGGAUUUAUUGGGCGUAAAGGGCGCGUAGGCGGCUUGGAAAGUCAGAUGUGAAAGCCCGGGGCUCAACCCCGGAAGUGCAUUUGAAACUAUCAGGCUUGAGUAUGGGAGAGGGAAGUGGAAUUCCUGGUGUAGAGGUGAAAUUCGUAGAUAUCAGGAGGAACACCGGUGGCGAAGGCGACUUCCUGGACCAAUACUGACGCUGAGGCGCGAAGGCGUGGGGAGCAAACAGGAUUAGAUACCCCAGUAGUCC
This 274-nucleotide ribosomal RNA is filed under the name uncultured bacterium. Its description in RNAcentral is "partial 16S ribosomal RNA". It matches the Rfam family "Bacterial small subunit ribosomal RNA", at positions 523 to 796 of the family's 1533-position model. The record is from RNAcentral.